Molecule: ribosomal RNA, 2902 nt
Filed under: Klebsiella pneumoniae
Lineage: Bacteria; Pseudomonadati; Pseudomonadota; Gammaproteobacteria; Enterobacterales; Enterobacteriaceae
Also listed under: 1 other name
Description: 23S ribosomal RNA
Rfam family: Bacterial large subunit ribosomal RNA
Source: RNAcentral
GGUUAAGUGACUAAGCGUACACGGUGGAUGCCCUGGCAGUCAGAGGCGAUGAAGGACGUGCUAAUCUGCGAAAAGCGUCGGUAAGGUGAUAUGAACCGUUAUAACCGGCGAUGUCCGAAUGGGGAAACCCAGUGCAAUUCGUUGCACUAUCGUUAACUGAAUACAUAGGUUAACGAGGCGAACCGGGGGAACUGAAACAUCUAAGUACCCCGAGGAAAAGAAAUCAACCGAGAUUCCCCCAGUAGCGGCGAGCGAACGGGGAGCAGCCCAGAGUCUGAAUCAGCUUGUGUGUUAGUGGAACGGUCUGGAAAGUCCGACGGUACAGGGUGAUAGUCCCGUACACCAAAAUGCACAGGCUGUGAACUCGAAGAGUAGGGCGGGACACGUGGUAUCCUGUCUGAAUAUGGGGGGACCAUCCUCCAAGGCUAAAUACUCCUGACUGACCGAUAGUGAACCAGUACCGUGAGGGAAAGGCGAAAAGAACCCCGGCGAGGGGAGUGAAAAAGAACCUGAAACCGUGUACGUACAAGCAGUGGGAGCACCUUCGGGUGUGACUGCGUACCUUUUGUAUAAUGGGUCAGCGACUUAUAUUCUGUAGCAAGGUUAACCGUAUAGGGGAGCCGCAGGGAAACCGAGUCUUAACUGGGCGUUAAGUUGCAGGGUAUAGACCCGAAACCCGGUGAUCUAGCCAUGGGCAGGUUGAAGGUUGGGUAACACUAACUGGAGGACCGAACCGACUAAUGUUGAAAAAUUAGCGGAUGACUUGUGGCUGGGGGUGAAAGGCCAAUCAAACCGGGAGAUAGCUGGUUCUCCCCGAAAGCUAUUUAGGUAGCGCCUCGUGAAUUCAUCUUCGGGGGUAGAGCACUGUUUCGGCUAGGGGGUCAUCCCGACUUACCAACCCGAUGCAAACUACGAAUACCGAAGAAUGUUAUCACGGGAGACACACGGCGGGUGCUAACGUCCGUCGUGAAGAGGGAAACAACCCAGACCGCCAGCUAAGGUCCCAAAGUCAUGGUUAAGUGGGAAACGAUGUGGGAAGGCACAGACAGCCAGGAUGUUGGCUUAGAAGCAGCCAUCAUUUAAAGAAAGCGUAAUAGCUCACUGGUCGAGUCGGCCUGCGCGGAAGAUGUAACGGGGCUAAACCAUGCACCGAAGCUGCGGCAGCGACACUAUGUGUUGUUGGGUAGGGGAGCGUUCUGUAAGCCUGCGAAGGUGACCUGUGAGGGUUGCUGGAGGUAUCAGAAGUGCGAAUGCUGACAUAAGUAACGAUAAAGCGGGUGAAAAGCCCGCUCGCCGGAAGACCAAGGGUUCCUGUCCAACGUUAAUCGGGGCAGGGUGAGUCGACCCCUAAGGCGAGGCCGAAAGGCGUAGUCGAUGGGAAACAGGUUAAUAUUCCUGUACUUGGUGUUACUGCGAAGGGGGGACGGAGAAGGCUAUGUUAGCCGGGCGACGGUUGUCCCGGUUUAAGCAUGUAGGCUGGUUGUCCAGGCAAAUCCGGAUAAUCAAGGCUGAGGUGUGAUGACGAGGCACUACGGUGCUGAAGUAACAAAUGCCCUGCUUCCAGGAAAAGCCUCUAAGCAUCAGGUAACAUCAAAUCGUACCCCAAACCGACACAGGUGGUCAGGUAGAGAAUACCAAGGCGCUUGAGAGAACUCGGGUGAAGGAACUAGGCAAAAUGGUGCCGUAACUUCGGGAGAAGGCACGCUGGUGUGUAGGUGAAGUCCCUGCGGAUGGAGCUGAGACCAGUCGAAGAUACCAGCUGGCUGCAACUGUUUAUUAAAAACACAGCACUGUGCAAACACGAAAGUGGACGUAUACGGUGUGACGCCUGCCCGGUGCCGGAAGGUUAAUUGAUGGGGUUAUCCGUAAGGAGAAGCUCUUGAUCGAAGCCCCGGUAAACGGCGGCCGUAACUAUAACGGUCCUAAGGUAGCGAAAUUCCUUGUCGGGUAAGUUCCGACCUGCACGAAUGGCGUAAUGAUGGCCAGGCUGUCUCCACCCGAGACUCAGUGAAAUUGAACUCGCUGUGAAGAUGCAGUGUACCCGCGGCAAGACGGAAAGACCCCGUGAACCUUUACUAUAGCUUGACACUGAACAUUGAGCCUUGAUGUGUAGGAUAGGUGGGAGGCUUUGAAGCGUGGACGCCAGUCUGCGUGGAGCCAACCUUGAAAUACCACCCUUUAAUGUUUGAUGUUCUAACGUUGGCCCCUGACCGGGGUUGCGGACAGUGUCUGGUGGGUAGUUUGACUGGGGCGGUCUCCUCCCAAAGCGUAACGGAGGAGCACGAAGGUUAGCUAAUCCUGGUCGGACAUCAGGAGGUUAGUGCAAUGGCAUAAGCUAGCUUGACUGCGAGCGUGACGGCGCGAGCAGGUGCGAAAGCAGGUCAUAGUGAUCCGGUGGUUCUGAAUGGAAGGGCCAUCGCUCAACGGAUAAAAGGUACUCCGGGGAUAACAGGCUGAUACCGCCCAAGAGUUCAUAUCGACGGCGGUGUUUGGCACCUCGAUGUCGGCUCAUCACAUCCUGGGGCUGAAGUAGGUCCCAAGGGUAUGGCUGUUCGCCAUUUAAAGUGGUACGCGAGCUGGGUUUAGAACGUCGUGAGACAGUUCGGUCCCUAUCUGCCGUGGGCGCUGGAGAAUUGAGGGGGGCUGCUCCUAGUACGAGAGGACCGGAGUGGACGCAUCACUGGUGUUCGGGUUGUCAUGCCAAUGGCACUGCCCGGUAGCUAAAUGCGGAAGAGAUAAGUGCUGAAAGCAUCUAAGCACGAAACUUGCCCCGAGAUGAGUUCUCCCUGAGACUUUAAGUCUCCUGAAGGAACGUUGAAGACGACGACGUUGAUAGGCCGGGUGUGUAAGCGCAGCGAUGCGUUGAGCUAACCGGUACUAAUGAACCGUGAGGCUUAACCUU